RNAcentral lists this ribosomal RNA (468 nucleotides) under uncultured bacterium. RNAcentral's name for it is "partial 16S ribosomal RNA". It matches the Rfam family "Bacterial small subunit ribosomal RNA", at positions 28 to 507 of the family's 1533-position model. The record is from RNAcentral.
GACGAACGCUGGCGGCGUGCUUAACACAUGCAAGUCGAACGGAAAGGCCCUGCUUUUGUGGGGUGCUCGAGUGGCGAACGGGUGAGUAACACGUGAGUAACCUGCCCUUGACUUUGGGAUAACUUCAGGAAACUGGGGCUAAUACCGGAUAGGAGUUCCUGCUGCAUGGGGGGGGUUGGAAAGUUUCGGCGGUUGGGGAUGGACUCGCGGCUUAUCUGCUUGUUGGUGGGGUAGUGGCUUACCAAGGCUUUGACGGGUAGCCGGCCUGAGAGGGUGACCGGCAACAUGGGGACUGGAAUACGGCCCAGACUCCUACGGGGGGCAGCAGUGGGGAAUAUUGCACAAUGGGCGGAAGCCUGAUGCAGCAACGCCGCGUGCGGAAUGACGGCCUUCGGGUUGUAAACCGCUUUCGCCUGUAACGAAGCGUGAGUGACGGUAAUGGGUAAAGAAGCACCGGCUAACUACGUG